This 269-nucleotide ribosomal RNA is filed under the name uncultured Methylocella sp. Its description in RNAcentral is "partial 16S ribosomal RNA". It matches the Rfam family "Bacterial small subunit ribosomal RNA", at positions 259 to 520 of the family's 1533-position model. The record is from RNAcentral. Lineage: Bacteria; Pseudomonadati; Pseudomonadota; Alphaproteobacteria; Hyphomicrobiales; Beijerinckiaceae.
AAAAGCCUACCAAGCCGACGAUCUGUAGCUGGUCUGAGAGGACGACCAGCCACACUGGGACUGAGACACGGCCCAAACUCCUACGGGAGGCAGCAGUGGGGAAUUUUGGACAAUGGGCGCAAGCCUGAUCCAGCCAUGCCGCGUGCGGGAAGAAGGCCUUCGGGUUGUAAACCGCUUUUGUCAGGGAAGAAACGCUCUGGGCUAAUACCCUGGGGUAAUGACGGUACCUGAAGAAUAAGCACCGGUUAACUACGUGCCAGCAGCCGCGG